CGAGGAAGGGCAGCCUUGGCCCCAUCGCUGCAGACUGAAGGCUGAAGGAGGAAGCCACCUCCAUUUCACUCCUUCCCAGUCUAGAGGGAUGCAGUGAUGGGGAGCAAGCUCCCCCCGAGCCUGAUCCAGACCAGCCCCCAGUCCGUGUGAAGUAACAUGUGGGUGGCAGCCAAAAGCGGGGCAAGGGGCCGGAGGAGCGGCAGGGUGGGCGGCGCAGCCUGACCGGAGCCGGCAGCAGUGAAGGGUCUGGGCUCCAUCACCCACGGCCGGCGGAGCGAGAUGCGGUAGCUGGACGGCAAGCUUGGUAAUCAGUCUUCCCGUACUGCCGCUCCUGAUGACCAGCAAACUGUCUCCAGCCUUCUGGUUGUCAAGAAAAUUGUGACAAGGCAAGUGUCAGAUCAUGCGGAGCCUUCUGAGUUUUUUGACCCCUUCAAUCUGUUUUCCAACCUGGAUAUGGCAAAGAAGCUGUAUUGGACUAAUUGAUUGUCUGUCUUCUCUAGGCUGUGGAUAAAGUCCAGGUAUGUAAUUUGACUCUUUUAGAUGAGCAGUAUCCUCUCUUUCACGGUCUUGUGUCUUUAUGUCAACCACUGUGGGGCUGCUCUGGAAAAGUUCCUUUUUUGCCAGAACUGGAGCAGAAGAUGUUGGGGUCCUACAGCAUUCUAUCUGCUGGGGUCCCUGUGCAGCUGGUUUGAGCAGUGCACAAUGGAGGCUGCAGUGUGUGUAUGACUUGCAAAAAAAAAGUCUGAUUCAUCUUCACCAAAACACAAAAUAAUGCAGCUGCCAGGCGGAAAUAAUAGCUUGAAAAUGCUGCACUUCCAUUUUUUGUUUCAACCAGUGCGCUGCGCUUUAAGGUAGAAUACUCUGUAUUUGAGAUUACCUACAUAACCAUUGAUCUUGAUUUCACUAAACUGCCCUGCUCUGUGCUCAGUAGCUGUUAUCCUGGAUAGUUGUUUUCUUGGGCUUUCUCUUAAAUUGUUUCAUACAAUCAUAGAAUUGUUUGGAUUGGAAAAGACCUUUAAGAUCAUCAAGGCCAACCGUUAACCCAGCACUGCCAAGCCCACCACUAACCCAUGUCCCUAAGCACCACAUCCACACGUCUUUCAAAUACCCCCAGGGAUGGUGACUACCACCUCCCCGGGCAGCCUGUUCCAGUGCUUUAACAACCUUUCCGGUGAAGACAUUUUUCCUGAUACCAAACCUAAACCUGUCCUGGUGCAACUUGAGGCUAUUUUCUUUGUCCUGUCGCUUGUUACCUGGAGAAAGAGACUGAUCCUCACCUCGCUACAACCUCCUUUCAGGGAGCUGUGCAGAGCAAUAAGGUCUCCCCUUGAGCCUCCUUUUCUGCAGGCUGAACACCCCCAAUUCCCGCAGCAGCUCCUCAUAGGUCUUGUUCUCCAGACCAGCUCCAUUGCCCGUCUCUGGACAUGCUCCAGCACCUCAGGGUCUGUCUUUCUUGAAGUGAGCGGCCCAGAGCUGAACGCAGGACUUGAGGUGUGGCCUCACUGCCCUGCUCCUGCUGGCCACGCUGUCUCAGCUACAAGCCAGGAUGCUGAUGGCCACCUUGGCCACCUGGGCACACGGCUGGCUCACAUUCAGCCAGCUGUCAACCAGCCCCCCCAGGCCCUUUCCCACCGCACAGCUUUCCACUUACUCUUCCUCAAGACUGCAACAUUGCGUGGGGCUGGUGUGACCCACGGGCAGGACCCGGCACUGAGCCUGGUUGAACCUCUUGUUGAACUGAGCCUUGUCCAUGGGUCCAGCCUGCCCAGGUCUCUCUGCAGAGCCUCCUGCCCUCCAGGUCAACACUCCCACCCAACCUGGUGUUGUCUGCAAACUGAGUGAGGGUGCACUCAGUCUAGCCGUUGGCGGUAAAACAAUAUGAGAAUUAUGGAUUUAGAUAUGCUUGUUAAGCUGUAGAGACCAUUUUCUCUGGAAAACUGGAAGAAUUCUGUUUAGAAAUUAUAGGAGAAAACUAUGAAAAUUCAGAUUCCACUCCUCUUCCCAGUGUCACGUAGCUUUUUUUUUUUCUUUGGAAAGCAAAAGCAGGUUAAUAACAUUGGUUUCAGAAGGUAAUUUUAUUAUUUUUUAAUGGUUCUUGCCAUUUGCCUAAAGGUUUGGAGGUAUAGCAGAACGCUGGGCAAGAGCCCCCAAACCUCUUGGAGAGCACCAACAGUUUUUUCACAUGAUUGCUCGUUUAUGGGGGAUCGGUAAGUAGCCUGUUAAGCACACUGGUUGGAGUACAUUGCGUUUCCUACAUCUGUCAAUUGCAAUAUUUGAUUGUCAGCAGUCAAUCAGACUUGAAUUUGGUGAUCUGGGGAGGAAUUAAAAUACACGCCUUACAUGCUGAUCGCUGGCAGUGUUGGGUAAAACUGGCUGGACAUCUCGGAGCCAAAUUGUCCCCAGACUUCAGAAAUUGGUGUGGUGGUGUGCAUUGCUGCCUGCCUUUUACCAUUUAAUGCCAACAAAUGUGGCCCUUUGUGUGUGGAUGAGUGCUAUCUAAAAGUAAUAGGCAAUGACCUUCCUAUCUGUGCAUUCACCAGUAGGCUCCGUCUCAGUGAUGGGCACCCUCAUGGACCCUGUGCAAGUUCCUUACCCAUCACUGGAGGUCCAAAGGCACCAGCAGCAUGGCAGGACAGCACUGGAGGUGGAGGUUUGCGUCAUGAUACCACCUUCUGAUGACAAUGAGCAAAACAUGACAUAAGACACUGCUCCACCUGACCAGGUGGUAGUAGUUCCUGGCCAUGGUAACAUGAUGCAAGGGCAAACCCACAAGCUGCAGCUGGAGGGCUGUCUUGCAGGUGAUAAGGUGGUAGAUACCCACGUCUCCUGCCAAGUCAUUUAUGGAGAUGCUGCACGGUGAGUCAUUUGACACAGGUACCAUGAUGUGACAGACAUCCAGAAGAGGAAGGGGGUAACCUCAGGGACACGCAGCAGAGCCUGGUCCCACCUGGCACAGCAGCUGGAAUCACUCUGUAGCUGCAGUCGCUUUUUCACAGAUACCAAACUCAUGGUCUCUCUCUGGAUGCAUUUGCAGCAACUUACAUGUAAAUAAUAAAAGCCCUGUGCAUUCAUCUCUUGGUAAGGAUCAUAUGUAUGCUUAUGUUAACGCAGAUGGUAAUUGCACACAGCCGUCUGGCUACUGGUGUCACCCUCCCUGUUGAAGGGCUGAUGCAUCGCAGCUUUGAAUGGGGGGCUAUUGAGAGAGAGCCCCUCUGUGCACAGGGGAGGGGGAAAGGGUCUGCAGUAACAAACUGGAAAAGCUCCUAUUUUACCUGAUAAUACUAUAAAACUCAUCUAACUCUCUCGUACAAACACAGCACAACUUUUCUGAGCGUACAGUCCAAAUUAUUCCUACACUGCAUUUUUGUUUAAGCAUUAAAAUUCAAGGUCUAAAUACGUAGUUUGAAAUUGGAGAGGAGUACAUGCACAUUGCAAAUGUAGAUAUAUCUUGCUGAGUACACAGCCCAUAAAAUAUGUAGUAUAAGAUCACUCAUUUAUUUAAAGAUGCUUUUUACUUCAGAUGGAAAAUGACACAAAUCUAAAUAUUACAAUGCAAAGUAAUGUGUAACUGUCUGUAUGUUAUAGCCUUAACACUAUACUUUUGAUGCAGAAGAGAUAUAGCAGCUGCACUUUAAUUUCAAGCAAAUUGAUCCCAGAUGUAAAUGUUGUUUUGUUCCAUGGAAGAUAGUGCACAGGUAAAGCAAAUAUCAUUGGUUUAUAGUCCAACAGAGUGUUGCAACAGGAUCCAGCCUCUUCUGCCUGGGCACACAUAAAAGCCUGGUGGCUGCGACAGAGUAGGAUGUCUGAAAAGUAUACCGUAAAAAGAGAUAGCUUUGCUUUUUACCCUUUAAGAAUACAACCACCUGUGAUCUAAGUAGCUGUUUUGAAGCCAGGAAAGCUUCUUGACUUGUCAAUUGUCCUGGAGGCAAGAUCUAAAUUUGGCUUGUUUUCCAUUUCUUUUCACUUCACAUUUUGUAGAAGCAUUUUUCUCUCACCCUAUUUAUGUUUGGCAUAAAAGGGAAAAAAAAAACAAACAAACAAACAACCAAAAAUCCCCCUACAUUUACUGAUUCAGUGAGCCACUACUUUCAAAGUAAAAAUAAUAGUAGGAAUUGUGCUUCACUGCCCGGAGAUACCCCCAACGUCAGUGGGACCAUGGGCAACGUAUAAACAGCAUAAUAGUUUCUUUACCAUCCCCUGCAUAUAGAGGACAGCAAAGUCCAAAUAUCCCGCUGUCACAUCUCUUCUUUUGAACAAUAAGAUUUUUUAUUUUUUGUCAAGUAGGGAACCUGCUUGUCCACAGAGGAGAAACCCACAACAGACAACUUACCCCAGUGCUGCUUCCCAGUACCAGAACUCAACCAAGCACAGCUGCUGGAGCCCAGUAAACUCAUCCAGAAGCAAGAGAAGAUCUCUCAGGUCAAUUAUUUCUUCAGUUUUUAAAAGUGUAGAUGUAGGACUACUUUACCUGUGUGGGAUCUGGCUGUGCAAUCCUUUCCUGUGCAGGCUGGCUGGCGGGUGCACGUAAUGCAUUAGCACAUGGGCACUGCUGGCUCAGAAAGGGGCCACUCGCAGCCCACCCUGGGUGAUGAUUGUUCUGCAGGCUGGCUCAAAAAGAGGUGGCAGCGAUGCCCUUCACCUCUCAUGACAACUCUCCACUUCUAUAUAGCUCCCCUUUGCCUUUCCAUCCUUCUGCAAGACGGAUUACUUGUAGCUGGUGUUUCCUGCUUUUGUUUUCUAUUGCUUUUAGGUCAGGUUUGCACAUGCGUUUAUUCUGGUUUCACAAAGGCUGUGAUUUAGUUAAUUGGGGGGAUAAUGUGUUUGGAUGCUUCUAAAUCAGUAUCAUUUGAAUUGAUGUUUAAAGUUAAACAUUUGAGAGCUCCUCUAUUUGAUAGCUACACUGAUUUAACUCUUAUUUCCUUCUGAAUCAGUGUAGGCAAAUCAAUGCACAAGUUGUGCACUGGAUGCAUUUCCUUUCAAAUACCAAAAUAUCUGAAUAAAGGUAUAUAUACCAUAUGUAAAGGUGUUACUGAAGGGCAGGUACUAGACAAAACUGUGGCACUUCUGCACAGCAAGUAUUUUUUUCUUCAUACAGUGCAGGGAAUCGACUGAAUCUGUCACAGAUGUGUAUAAGAUGUGUACAACCUUAUGUAGCAACUUCUGCGAGUAUUUAGCAGUAAGACAUAUUGACCACAUUCUGAAGUCCUUACUCAGACGAAACCUGCCCAGAGGUCAAUGUGAAUCUCGAUUAAUCGAUUUACUCAGAAACAGCUCACAGUUUCUGUACGGUUUUGAAGCACAAACCUUUGAACAGAAUACAAAAUCAGAAUUAACAUCACACCAGGACAUGGGAAGCCACAGUGAAUGUUCGUCCACACGAGCUGUUCUUCGCUGGGGUCAUGAAAAGUGUGACAGAGAAGGGAAUGUUAAUUUUUUGGCAGCAUUGGGUUGUGGGAGGAGGCUGGGGUGGGAGCAGGGACAAGGAUGCAUUUGCCGAGAGGAUGUAGCAGCAUGCACUCAGCCCCGGCUGCUUGACAGAGCUGCUGUAUAAUAGCAGGGCACUCACCUCAAAUCAUAGGUUGUGAAAACUGACAUUUCCAUUCAAAUUACUCCAAUAGCCAACUGUUCCCCGGUGCAACUUCUUCUGUAAGUGACACAGUGACAGUGAUCCAGGAAUUUAACUUGCUGUUGUCUCGUUCCAAGUGGAAUUAUGAAGUUUGUGACAUGCAUUAGGAGGAUGGCUCCUGGUCGCAGCCGGUGCUUUGCGUGUCUGUGCGAUUAAUCACAGGUCGAGCACAGAGCCCAGGAAGUUUUGUCAGCUCAGGAUAGCUGUCCCUGCUGUGAACCUCCUCUUACUGAGUCCUUUUCUCUUCGUUUCCCAUUGUCUGAGAGAAAAGCUACUGCUCCACUGAAGUUUUCCUGGCACCUCCUGGUUCCUUGAGAUUUGUUUUAAGCUUCUGUCUUUAAUUAUGAUGGGCAGAUCAUCUGUUCUUGACACAUGAGUGCCUGAUGGUCACAUCGCUGUGCACCCUCCUCUCCUCAGAGAUGCCUCUUGGAUUUAUUUUUUUUUCCCCACAACUUGACUGUGCAAGUUACCUUUUAAAUUUCUGUCUAGCCUUUUAAGCAGGAAGCCUUCUCUGUUCAUAAAACAAACCAGCAGAUUUUGUAAUUUGAGGUGUUUGCCAUAUACAGGCUGAAAUUGCAUGUAAUUUUUGCACAGCUUUACUUUUGUAUUACAUGGUCAACCAUAAAACCCCUUUGGUUUGUUGCACUCUGCAACAAAUGUCACCAAACUGGCUUUGGCUUCUGCAUUUGGCGGAGGAGCCAAAGCGUUUGAUGGUGGAUUACCUGCCUGUACCUUCCAUGCUCCUGGACAAAUCUCCGUCGGUCAGCUGCAACUGAUGACCAAAGCAACAAGUCUCAAGGUAGGUCCUUCGUAUGCCAUGGUGGCAUCUUUCAGAAGAGGGUCCCAGGACCCAUCCAGUGGUCAGGUUGGCACAGCACCAUGGAACUGGGAGAGACUGGGAUGUGGUUGGGGUCAGGCUAUGGGCCCUCUUGUUCUACCCCAUGUCUUCUGCAGAGAAGCUGGGCAAGGACAUGGAUCCUUCAUGCCUGGUGAACUAAAACUAGCAAUGGCCCAGAGCCCCAGUGAUGGAUCUGAACGUCAGCAAGCUCGAAAUCUAUCUGCAUCUGGAUCUCAGCCUGGCUUACGGUCAUCUUCACUCAAACCCCAUUUUUUUUAACUUGAUAACCAGGAAAUUCAUCAAUCAGUUACUAAGGAAAAUAUAAUUAUAAAGUCAUGUUUACCUACACUUCUUGGAGAACAGGGCCUCACUAUUGCUAUCGCAGUCAGAAGAAUAACUAAUGUCAGGGUUUUAUAGUGAAUUCAUUACCUCCUUGGACAGGGAGCAACUCUCACUAUAUUUUGCAGAAAAACUUUCAGAAGAAGAAAAAAUACAGUGUGUGCUGUUUGGGAGUCAUAGUCUUCACCGCAUGACAACGGAAGUCAAUAGACCAAAUACAUGGACUGUUUUUUGAUUCGGCACCAUGCACCAUCCAUGAAUGAAGAUAUUCUGUUAAAUUAAAAUUAGUCCAUCAUUUCCAAAUAAAAUUUUCAUAGAAUAUUGCAUCUCAGAUGCUCUGCAAAAUGAUGUAUAACCAACAUGCUCAGGGGUCAGUUGUUAGGGUAUACUGGUAUCCUGGAAUAUCAGACUACUCCAAGCUUAUGCUUUGAUCUUGCUUUCAAGUUCCUGGAAGUUAAUUCUGGUCCCUGUUGGUCCCUGAGUGUGGAUAAAGUCUAUGCUAGGUAUUCACCACCACCAUUUUUUCUGUAAGACUAAUUUCACAUCUCCCUCCACAUCCCCUACCAUCCCAACAUUUCCUUUAUCUGAUUCACCUCCUGCAUGUGGUUCCCUUUGGGUUUAAGCUAAGUGUUUGAAAGCAAUGGGAAGUGUCCACAGGGGACUGUGACCUCUGGGGUUUAGAUCAGGUGCUUUGCUACUCAGUUUUCAUUUCUGCUUUUGGACCUGCAACAACAGCCCAAUCAUCUACAAAGCUUAAAAGCUCAUGAAAGCUUCUUCAGUCUUCAGAGGUGUCAUGUCAUUACACUGCGCUGUAAGUUCUGGUAUCAGUUGGCUGUGGUUGAAGCCUUCAAUAAAUUCCUUUUGAAUAUGACUUUAUGGUUUUCCACCUGCAAAGAAAUACAGCCUCAUUUACAGACCGCUGUUGUGUUUAUGUUCAUUUUGGAAGACACAUCCAUCUACUGAGAAAAGGUCUGACCAAGACUGUGGAAAUUGCCACUAAAGCAAAGGUGGGGAUUGGAUAUGUCCCAAACCAAAACUUGCUAAAAUUUUGCUGUUCUAUCCUUAAGAAAGGAAACUGCAGAGCUGCCUUCCUGGGGCACUGCUUCGUAGUAAGUCAGGGUACUUCUGAAACAAAAACAUGUGUAAUCUUUAUUUAUUCUAUACCAUUAUCUGGAAUCCCCAAAUAGUUUCUAUAUGUUUGUUUGAAAGCGGUUCCAUGACACCAUGGAUGCUGAGCUGUAUCUGGGACUUGAUAGCUGGCUUAGUGCUGUUGAGCUGACUCAGAUGACACUAAAUAUUUCUUCACACCUACGGAAGGGUCAUGUCAGUACAGGCAACCCUAAGAACAGAAAACAACAUGAGAAAAUGAUCUGAUUGCUUAAUUCCCUGCAGUGGGCCUGCUUUGAAUAUCACGACAAAGGCCACAAGCACUUCAGAUUCUUGAUGUGAGAGGCCUCUGGAAAUUGUUGAGAUUUCGUAUUCCUGCGAGAGGAGAUGUGCCAUACUCAGGAACAGGAAAGCCCCCAUCUCGUGCAAUGCCCACCAGUCCCAGUGCUGCUGGAGCUGCAACAUGCUGGGUGAUCAGUGCACCUUGCACAAGCAUUUGUAGGCUUUGCACAACACUGCAGGGAGAUCCUGGGUGUCUCAAGGCACUUUUACACAGAGAAGAAAUGCUCAAAACCAUAAAAACCUCCCCCAAAAAUACUAAUGAAUUAUGUGCUCAAGGCUGUCAAAGAGUGAAAAAUUACUUGAGCACAGCAAUUUAAAAAGUUGGGGGUGAGGCUGUGUUUGCAAUUACUAUUAUAGAGACCAUAUAGGCUUUUGAUGAGAAAUAAGUAAAACCCAACCUGUUUAGUGAAUAUUAAGCUGCCUUGUGAAGUUUCAGAAAACACCACUUUGCCUGUUGUGAGAAGUAACAGCUUUAAAUCUCCCAUGGUCUGGCCAAGGAGAGAAGCGUGUGUACUGGGUUUGGGUUGAAGGAGAUAUGCUGUAAAAAUAGUGGCUUUCAUUAAGAUGAAUCACAGUAAAAGUAACAAAAAAGUGCUUUGAUACAACGGUGAAUAGAGGAUUAACUGCACAAUGCUGCUGUUUUUUUAAUUCUGCAUGUCUCCUUUUUUUUGUGUGUUUGUUCGUGAUGCCAGCAAUAAAAAUAAUGUUUGGCUGCUAAGUGCGUAAGUGUGCUAAAGAAGGGCUUUAUAGUGCCCAGAAUCUGUUUGUCAGCAGGUGACUGCUGUGGGGAGGGAGGAAGAGGAAAGCUUGUCUUAUUUUAUUUUCAAGGGUAGAAAUUUAACAUUGGGAACCCAAUUCAUAUUUUAUUUCUUAUCAAAACUUAUCUCCGUAACUAUGAGCAUGUAUAUGCACCAAAUAAAUAAAAAAAAAAUUAAAAAAAAAAAAGUACAGCCCAUCCAGCUUUGAGGGCGGGUUAUUUAUAGAAGAUCUCUGCCUUUUGUCAGAUUGGUGGUUAACGAUGUUCUUCCAGAAUAAACCCUAUUCUGUGCAGCAGAAGAGGAAGAGUCCUGCGGAGAGUGUGCAUGUAAGCUAAUGUCCCCGAGACAGAAAGGGCUGUGGCAGAAAACGCUGCUGAGCAAAAUCCACAACAAUCUAAUCAUCAUCUCUGGUAGUCAGUGAGAGCUGUGGGAGAAGACGUUGUAUAAAGCAGAUACAUCCAGGAAAUAAUGCUUGUCCAGUGCAGCCAGAUGGAGUGGGUAUAUCCUGACCAAGCAUUUAUUUUAAUAAAUGUUCAAUUAAAAUUAUUUCUGUAGUGCAAGCAUGGUCCAGAAGUAGUAUAGGAAUUAAUAAGAUUGCUGAUAGAAAUAAACAUUAAGAUAAUUGUGCACAAGUUAAGAAUGACGGUUAUAAAAAAAAAUUCUUAACAUUUCUAUAGGAUUAUUUUAUGCAUGUACAAACCAGAAAAUGUUAGUUCAAGCUAUGCUUUAAAAUCAUGUUUUUAAAACUCUAGCUCUUUUUUGCACAAAAAAUCACCCAUAACAGUGCCAGCUCUUCCUGUGCCCAUGCAACACGUCUGUAAUCUGUGAGUUUAUAUAAACACAGUAAUUGAGGAAAAACUCUGCUAGAAACUUUUAUCUGUAUUAUGUCUGUAAUAUGACAUACAUGCUGUCUAACCCGAAGUUUAUGGUAGCAGAGGUGACGGAUGAACAGAGGAAGAUUUUUCUGGUUUUAUACCUUGAUAUAACCCCAUUUAUGUGUGAAUUUGUGGGUACAUGAAUCCCUUAUUAAGUGAGUAGAGCUCUUCAUACAGCUAAAAUUCUGUACGUGCUUAAGUACUGCCUGAGACAGCAUCCAAGCAGGCGCUUAGCAGCCGGCUUUUAUUUUGUUGGUUACACCUUGGUCUUAUUCCUUCUGUGAGUUUGUUUAUCAAAAUGCGAUGUAUGUCCCAGGUUAAAGUUUCUGGAGCAUACCUGUGGUGUGUUUGCAGCCUUCAUCCUCGAGUCAAAGGUGGAAGGCACCUGAAAAUAAACAGAAGUCAGACGUGCUGAUGCCAGGGAUGGGUCUGACGCUGAUUAGCAGACAGUCUGGAAAUGCCAGAAAUGAAAAGUAGCUGCAAGCAGAGGAGCUAAAGACCAGUCAUGAAGGAGAUUCCAUGUAUGAGUAGCUACACUCUGGAGCAGUCCGUGGGUGUGCCCUGUGCUCAUGGGUGAAAAGCAACAUGAUUAGAUUUAUCAGCAGCUCAUUCGGGGACAGCUCUGUGCGUGCAUCCGAGCGGCUUUUCCACCUGCAAGCAGGAUCCAGAGGGGAGCCUGUUGGGUUGGCUCUGGUUGUGAAACACUAGGACUUUCUGAAAAAGGCUCCUGCACAGCAGCUUCUUGAGGGUCUCCCAUCUGUACUGUCCAUGCAUGAUGCCCACCACAAUCCGCAGCGUAGGGGUUGGCAGAAACAAAUACAGCGCAGAAGGAGGGUGAAGCGUGUCUCUCCAUAGCAUCCUCUCUGUCCUGCCUGGGAUCUAUCUCCUUUCUCCUGCAGAAGAGACCAGUAGCUCUUGCUUGUAGAUGAAGCAUGGCAAUGGCCUUGAUUUCUCACUCAACAGAAGCAUAAAGCCAACAGGAACCAUCCCACGAAACGGGACCCAGGCAGCAGCACAGCCUUUCGGCAGCUCAGCCUCAUUUGGGAUGCAAGGUGGCAAAAGCACCAAUACAACUACCUGGUCCUCAAGUCAUGUGACCAUGGCACUGUGGACUGAAAAUAAAGCAGAACUGAAUGAGAAACACAGAUGCUUAUCAAUGGUUGAAGACCUCUGUCCUUGCAAGAAAACCAAAACCAUUUUUAUCUGACAACCUUCUCUUAUUAGACUAUUUUAUGAAGAUUUUGUCAGUCAAUCUAACUUCUAAAAAGGUCAAUAGUAAGUUUCUUCUGUUUUCCUCUCCCCUCGUACAAUAACAAAGACUGAAUUCUAUCGCUUCUGCAAGCACUUCCCACUCCUACUGUCAUGAUGUGGCUGAGAAGUGACGAGUUGUGUAACAGGAAAGUGUUGAGACAAACAAUGGUGCUGCGACGAGAAGGAGCUGCUGUGGUCUCCUUGCAGACAGCACUCAGCACAACCCCACCACGCUUCUUCCACCCCGUUCUUUUUUCUGAUGUAGAACAAACUUUGUGUCUGUGCCCUAACACCCAAUUCUCCUGGUAACCCUGUUUUACCCUUCUCUGCAGACUUUCUUCCUUUCCUGUUCCUCUCAGGUGAUUUAAUCAAUGGUUUUUGUAUCUAGUUGCUUGUCUUCAAGAUCUUCAGCAUAGGAGGACACGGGUUUUAUUGCAGAUCUUCCACUACCGAGUUCCUCGUCCUCCUCAGCAGCAGCAGGACACUGGCUGUAUGGACCUUCUGGGUUCUGUUUUUAGUUGAUACCUCACUGGCUUCCUUAAAACUGGGAAAGAAAGGUGGUAACUAGGAAUUAUUUAUUUUACAAAAUGCCUAUGAUUUCUGUUUCACUGAUUUCCAUGAAGAAAAGAAACCCCGAGCCCAUGCAAAGCUGCUCUACUUGUGUAGCGCAGGAACGAUGUGAACACGCUGUGUCCCCACGGUCUUGUUCUAACAUUUCUCUGAUGAGGUACCCAACUGCUGUUUCCAUUUUAUGCCAUGCUACAUGCUAGGUAAAUUUUGGAAACUUUUUUUCCAAAUUAAGUUAUGCUCAGUGUUUUCCUCACAUAGGGAAUUUAUUUGUUUAAAUAAGUGCCUAAAUCUAUGAAGUCACUUUGCUUUGGGCCCCUACUGCUCCUGUGCCCACCCUUUCUGGCUUUAACCUGGAGAGUGACACGGCUCAGAUGAUUGUGUGGUGGCUGCAGUCGAUGGCCCUCACCCAAGCUUCACCCCUUGGUCCAUCAGAGCCUCUGGCUGGUCCCUACCCACUGCUUGGCCUUUGUUAAUUUGUCCAGGGUGUGUUUUAAGGGAUGGAGUAAGUGAGGGGGUAGUUGGGUAGAAACCUUGGAAGUUCUUUUAGAGAUACUUCGGAUACUACAGUGCUUGUUGGAUUCAUGAUUUGCUCUAAAAUGAGACCCGCUGAUAAACCAGAAAGGUGAAGAAGCACCAUGCAAUGAAUUUACGUUCUACGGCUUGGCUCCUGCCGUUUUAUUUUCCUUUUUUCUUCUCACUACACAGAGUCUGCCCAAAUAGCCUUGUGAGAUGGUUUUUAGAGGUUGUUUGUUUAUUAUUAUUUCUACUCAUUACAGUUUCAAAGUAGUUUUGUGUCUGUGAAGCUAAGUCCACAGCAAUUGCUUCUUUUUCUUUUCUUCUUUUUUUUUUUAUUAUUAUUAUUUUUGUGCGUGUGUGUGUAACCUUGGGACUAGAGCUGUAGUAUGGAUGAAGGUGGUGACUGCAGCAGAACCAGUACACAGGGACCCCCCUUGCAAACCUUGGUGGUCAUCCAGCACCUCUCACGUCGCUGGCCGGAGGCACUGAGGCUGGCUUCAGGGGGGUCACUCCCCAUCCCGGUGCUGUCCUUCACCUGCUGAGGACUGACCUAUGGGUCUGAGCUGUGGUGGCCAGAGCUAAAACUGCCCAGGAGAGCAGCGCUGAGCUGCAGCAGGUUGUCCCCGGCUCCUGUGUCCUGCAUCGUGGGUGCAGCAUCACGCACAAGAACUCCACAGCACAAGGAAAGAGGUCAUUAAAUACAACUUUAUUGGGUUUCAUCAUACAGUUUGUUUUUCAUAUCUUCUUCCUUUCUCCUCUCCGACUUCCCCUUGGUGUCUUCAUCCUACGUUUCAUCGUGAACACAGGACAACUUUAAAAUUUGUUGGUUGCUUUACCCAGAGGAAUUCCAGCCUCAGUUUCCCUUUUUUGGUUGAAUUUUUCCUUUUUAGAUUUGACACAGUAAACAACCUGUGGGUUGUUUCUGGUUGGAGCAGAGUAGGUUUCAGAUAAUUUCCUUGCACCCUCACCAUCCCACCUUGGUCUGUUCUGAAGGCAGCUGCUGCCUCUGCUAUAAAGUUGUUUCUCAAAUGUUUUAAAGUAUCUCAAGGUAAAUGCAAAAAAAAGUCACAUAACAACCAAAAUCCUCUAAAAACUUUGUGGGCACCAAAAAUAUACCAUUUUGUGACCAAUUCACUGCACCCUUUUUUUCACGAUGACCUUUCAGUACUAGGACUAAGUUGAUAAAGAGGAAACAAAACCAUUACAGUAGAACAGUUACUUUAUCUGAAUGUGUAAGAAAUCAAAAAAUUACGACUAUAUAGCUUCCAUCGCUAGCAUCGCAUUUCAGCUGGCCAAACUGGACUAGCAAUGUCACCAGCUGAAAUGGGGGUACCAGGCCAGGAGGUCUCAAACCCUCCAUUGGUUAAAUCUGACCUUAGAAAUAAUAUUUUCUUAUACAUAACAAUGAAAUUCAGCAUUCUGGAUGAGAUAAAAGAGAUAGCUUGGGUUUAAUUAUUUAAUGCACACAGUUUAAAGUUCCAGUACAGCUCAUUUUAUUUAAAACUGUAGUAUUUUAUGAAGUAUCUGACUAAAGAUAAUGAUCGCUUUUUAAAUGAUACACACCAACUUUCAAAAAGUUUUUAUUACUUGUGGGACUUUAGGAACAUUCCUCCUUUGUAUGCUUUUGUAGAGACUGUUUGCAUACUCUGACUCCAGACUGGGUGCUUUCUCUUCCUUUUCCUGUAAAACUUACGGCAGUACAUUGUAUAAUGACAAGUGACCAAAAAAAAUCAAUUUGUAAUCUGAUUUGAGGGUUUUGAUUUCCUCUGAUGAGUUUAAAUUUCAUUAAAAGCAACCUUAUUCGAACAUAAAAGAACUCCUUGAAGGGUAAAACAGGGAAUUGUCUCAAAGAGUAUAAAGAAUCUAAACUCUUUUGUGCUAUUUAUUCACGGCAUUAAUUGUGAGGUCCAACGGGCGGUGUCGGUUGGCAGAUGCACUGUUAUCAGCCCUGCGAUCUGAACGAGGAGGGGAAAAAAAGCACAAGGGCUCACAUUCAAAAAUCAUUCUUUGGCGUAUUGACACUUUAGUUAUCAACAGCCCUUAUUAUCUGCUUAGCGGCGGAGUGCAGCUUGCUGGUGACAUAAUAAGCUACAAAUCACUGAUGGGGCCUUUCUGCAUUCUCCUAAUUGUGUGUAUUCUCUAGAAAAAAAUUAUCGUUGGGCUUCUUGUCUUGAUGAGAAAUUGACAUUUUCUGGUGGAGCCUGGUGAGCACUAUGUGGGGAGAUAAGACAUAGUUGUUUUAAAGGAGUGCAGCCAUUCUUUCAGAGGCCUCUUUAUUGCUCUAGUUGACCCACUUGAUGAGUAUGGAUUUCAUGAGGUCUUUUUCAGCAUUUGAACUAUAAAAGGUUCAGAAUGACACCACCCCUUAUAGACAAAAGAUAACCUUGCCCUUUGAAUAUAUUGAUUCUUUAUUAACUAGGCUGUUUAAUGCAAUGAAAUGAGGCAUUAGAUUGAAGCCUAUUUCAAGUGCUUUGAAUAAUCUUUAAAAGCUUGAAAGACUUUUAAAAGCUGCUCUGCAAUAAUUGGCAUAUACUUUUAGAGACUCUAUUCCUUCAUUUUGAUUAAGGAAUUUUUAUCAUCUUCCUAUGUCUAAACUCACUAUAGGCUGACACAACAUAUUUUCUCACCAGGGCUAUUACCAAGUUACAGAUAGGGACGUGUUGUAGGUGGUGGAUUGCUCUAGGACUUGUCAUUUCUAGCAAAAAAUGUAUGGGUUUUCUUCUUUUGUAUUUUCUUUGCGUUGAAAGUUAGACAAACCAUUUAGAUGCUCAUUAUUCAAACCUUUGAAAUAAACCUAAAAGGAAAAGUGCCAGUAGGCAUCAUGGAGACUUCCAUCCCUAUAAACCAUCUUAUUUUUUAGUGGGAUGCAUCUGAUUAUGCCACCGUUUAAACAUCAUACACGGAUACAUACUCAAAGUGGAACAAUUUUCAAUGCAUAAUAAUAAUAAUAAUAAUCCAAAGUGCUCUGUAUUUUUAACAUCUGUUUUCAUCAAACAUGAAAACUAUGGAAAUAUCAGAGAAUAAAGGAAAUUUAGUUAAAUAUCCCAGUUUUCCUUCUUUGUACAUUGUGACUACAGUAAGCUGCACCUUCUCGUCACACUCCAUCACUUAACAGCUGGAACACGGGGUGAUGAAGGAGAGACUCAGGCACACGGCAUGUCGUUUGGCAGUAUAUACGCAUACACAAGUACAUACAUUGGAGCUCAGAGUUUCUCAGUGCCCUCUCAAAGUUGUCAGCAGCCCUCUGAUUAAUGACAGGAUAAAACUCACAUAACAAACUCCCCCGCUUUACCUGCGUAGGCACUUGAGUUGCUCUGCCUGCUG
Molecule: long non-coding RNA, 15546 nt
Organism: Falco peregrinus (peregrine falcon)
Lineage: Eukaryota; Metazoa; Chordata; Aves; Falconiformes; Falconidae
Exons: 5
Source: RefSeq, a predicted model, not a curated record